RNAcentral lists this long non-coding RNA (206 nucleotides) under Panax ginseng (ginseng). Its description in RNAcentral is "long non-coding RNA (PGIN_LNC002664)". The record is from RNAcentral. Lineage: Eukaryota; Viridiplantae; Streptophyta; Magnoliopsida; Apiales; Araliaceae.
AUGGAUCUGGGUAUGAGAGAAGCCCACCUCGGAAUAUGAGUCUGGUGGAUAUGGUGGGAGGUCAGAGAGGACUGAGCAUGAGGCCCCGAGUUACGGGAGACAGAGUUAUGAAACUCAGGAAAGUGAGGGGUAUGGAGGAUCCAGCUAUGGGCGAUCUGAAUAGGGGGAAUAUAGGAAGCCUAGCUAUGAGAGGCAUGGUGAUGAUG